CCUACGGGAGGCAGCAGUGGGGAAUCUUGCGCAAUGGGCGAAAGCCUGACGCAGCCAUGUCGCGUGAAUGAUGAAGGUCUUAGGAUUGUAAAAUUCUUUCACCGGGGACGAUAAUGACGGUACCCGGAGAAGAAGCCCCGGCUAACUUCGUGCCAGCAGCCGCGGUAAUACGAAGGGGGCUAGCGUUGCUCGGAAUUACUGGGCGUAAAGGGAGCGUAGGCGGAUAGUUUAGUCAGAGGUGAAAGCCCAGGGCUCAACCUUGGAAUUGCCUUUGAUACUGGCUAUCUUGAGUACGGAAGAGGUAUGUGGAACUCCGAGUGUAGAGGUGAAAUUCGUAGAUAUUCGGAAGAACACCAGUGGCGAAGGCGACAUACUGGUCCGUUACUGACGCUGAGGCUCGAAAGCGUGGGGAGCAAACAGGAUUAGAUACCCUGGUAAGUCCACGCUGUAAACGAUGAGUGCUAGUUGUCGGCAAUGNAUGCAUGUCGGUGACGCAGACUAACGACAUAAGACACCUCCGCCGUCGGGAGGUACGGUCGCGAAGAAUUAAAACUAACAAAUAAGAAGUUAGUACGGACGUAGAGACGUACGACCGAACGACGACGAACGAGGGAGAGG
This 618-nucleotide ribosomal RNA is filed under the name uncultured bacterium. Its description in RNAcentral is "bacterial SSU rRNA". The stretch from base 1 to 522 matches the Rfam family "Bacterial small subunit ribosomal RNA", at positions 338 to 873 of the family's 1533-position model. The record is from RNAcentral.